This 481-nucleotide ribosomal RNA is filed under the name uncultured bacterium. Its description in RNAcentral is "partial 16S ribosomal RNA". It matches the Rfam family "Bacterial small subunit ribosomal RNA", at positions 28 to 507 of the family's 1533-position model. The record is from RNAcentral.
GAUGAACGCUGGCGGCGUGCUUAACACAUGCAAGUCGAGCGAAGCAUUUGCGACAGAUUUUUUCGGAAUGAAGUUGCUUAUGACUGAGUGGCGGACGGGUGAGUAACGCGUGGGUAACCUGCCUUGUACUGGGGGAUAGCAGCUGGAAACGGCUGGUAAUACCGCAUAAGCGCACAAUGUUGCAUGACAUGGUGUGAAAAACUCCGGUGGUAUAAGAUGGACCCGCGUCUGAUUAGCUAGUUGGUGAGAUAACAGCCCACCAAGGCGACGAUCAGUAGCCGACCUGAGAGGGUGACCGGCCACAUUGGGACUGAGACACGGCCCAGACUCCUACGGGAGGCAGCAGUGGGGAAUAUUGCACAAUGGAGGAAACUCUGAUGCAGCGACGCCGCGUGAGUGAAGAAGUAAUUCGUUAUGUAAAGCUCUAUCAGCAGGGAAGAUAGUGACGGUACCUGACUAAGAAGCUCCGGCUAAAUACGUG